Sphaeramia orbicularis (orbiculate cardinalfish) is the source of this 85-nucleotide long non-coding RNA. RefSeq lists it as uncharacterized. Lineage: Eukaryota; Metazoa; Chordata; Actinopteri; Kurtiformes; Apogonidae. The record is from RefSeq and is a predicted model, not a curated record. The transcript has 3 exons.
UUAAUCACUGCAUCUCUUGCAAACACAUUCUCGGUCAGAAUGAAUACAGUUACAUUUGAUUUAGGUUUGACAAAUGAAACAUUCU